Molecule: long non-coding RNA, 192 nt
Organism: Telopea speciosissima
Lineage: Eukaryota; Viridiplantae; Streptophyta; Magnoliopsida; Proteales; Proteaceae
Exons: 2
Source: RefSeq, a predicted model, not a curated record
UAUCUUGAUACAAAAAAUAUUUCAGCUAGGAAAUACUAGGAAAUAGCAGCUCUUGUUAAUAUGAAUUUCUACAACAGAAAAUCCCAUCAAGUGUUAGCCAAUGGAUAUCCAAUCUUGGGACAAUUUUUUCCAGCAAAGCCUAAGCCAUACUCUUCGAGUCUUCCCUGCAAGCAGACUUUUUUCCUUAAGAUC